UGAGGAAUAUUGGUCAAUGGACGGAAGUCUGAACCAGCCAAGUAGCGUGCAGGAUGACGGCCCUAUGGGUUGUAAACUGCUUUUGUAUGGGGAUAAAGUUAGGGACGUGUCCCUAUUUGCAGGUACCAUAUGAAUAAGGACCGGCUAAUUCCGUGCCAGCGGCCGCGGUAAUACGGAAGGUUCAGGCGUUAUCCGGAUUUAUUGGGUUUAAAGGGAGCGUAGGCUGGAGAUUAAGUGUGUUGUGAAAUGUAGACGCUCAACGUCUGACUUGCAGCGCAUACUGGUUUCCUUGAGUACGCACAACGUUGGCGGAAUUCGUCGUGUAGCGGUGAAAUGCUUAGAUAUGACGAAGAACUCCGAUUGCGAAGGCAGCUGACGGGAGCGCAACUGACGCUUAAGCUCGAAGGUGCGGGUAUCAAACAGGAUUAGAUACCCUGGUAGUCCGCACAGUAAACGAUGGAUGCCCGCUGUUGGUACCUGGUAUCAGCGGCUAAGCGAAAGCAUUAAGCAUCCCACCUGGGGAGUACGCCGGCNACGGUG
This 540-nucleotide ribosomal RNA is filed under the name uncultured bacterium. RNAcentral describes it as "bacterial SSU rRNA". It matches the Rfam family "Bacterial small subunit ribosomal RNA", at positions 355 to 896 of the family's 1533-position model. The record is from RNAcentral.